Molecule: long non-coding RNA, 932 nt
Organism: Microplitis mediator
Lineage: Eukaryota; Metazoa; Arthropoda; Insecta; Hymenoptera; Braconidae
Exons: 3
Source: RefSeq, a predicted model, not a curated record
UAAAAAUGUUACUGAUUUUUUCAGUGGUUACAAAAUUUACUGAAAGAUCAGUAGCUUUGAAUAAAUUUACUGACUAAUCAGUAAUUUACUGACUAAUAAUGAAUUUAGCUUCACGGCAGUAAAGAGUGCCAUCUACUUAAAAGCUUGUUUGUUAGACAGAGGUUGAUUGCAAGUUAUAAUCAAAGUUUAUUAUUUAUAUUGCACUAUUAUUAGGAUAAAUGUUUAUACGGUGACGUCAAAACCGCUAGGGAAAAUAUAUUUAACACUACACAUUUAAUGCCCAAUAUCUGAUGUUUGUGUACAAAAAAAAAAAAUAAUAAAAAAUUUUUCUCUGUAAACAUGUUUUCAAACUUAAAUUACCAAAUCUAUUGUAGCUAAGAAUAAGAUAUACUUUUAACCUUAUAGUUAGCUAAAUUGUCACUGUUUAUGCAAGCUAAAACUGCAAGCUUUAUGUUAGCGAUCCAAAGCGUUACCAACUAACCUUGUGUUAACCAUAGUUUGUUAGCUAAUUUUAGGCUAAAACUGAUAAAAUUAGCUUAAUACAAGCUAAUUCCAUUGAUGUCUUUCUACCUGGGAAUCUAAUCGAUAAUAAUGUCAAUGAAAUUUUUCAUAUUUCUUCUUAUUGGCUUAGCCAUGAUUGUAAACAUUGAAGGUUAUUUCGAUAACUGGUCUGCACCUGAUUGCAAACAAAAGGGACAAUUUUGUGGCGAAUAUGGGAGCUGUUGUAGGGGCCUAAUUUGUACUAAUCAUCGGAUGGAUAGAUCAACAUGUGAACCGGAUUUCUAUUACUAAUUUUAACGACAACUACUCAGAUAUUUUAUUUAUAAAAAAAAUUACGUUUCUUUCGAUACAUAACAGGGUACUCUUUAUAAGCAAAUAUUUUAAAAAAUAGUUUUUGUCAUACUUAAAACACUGAAUUUUGAAUAAAUAUA